GGCGGAGUGAGGGACGGGGCAGGGCCGGGCUGUAAGUUCGAGUAGGGGUGAGGAGCGAGAAGGGGGCAUUAGAAAACAGGGCUGAGGGGAGGAGGUAAGGGUUAGGAGACGGCAACCCCAUAUCUCCCAGACCAAAGCUGCAGCAAAAUAAAACUCUGGUUUCCCUGGCAGUGCCAAAUGCAUCCUGAAAAGUGACAGCAGGAACCUGGCCCGGUGAGUUUUGGUGUCUAUAGCAAAAAGCCAGAUGUCACAUUCAAUGGCCAUCUGCUUCCUCCAGUUCCAAAUGCUGUAGGAUGCCUCCCAGACUCAAACCAAUACCACUCACAACUCGGGCUGCCAUGACAGUCCCAAAUGCCUCCUGCAAAUUGACAUCACGAACCUGGGCUGGGAGGGAUUGGCAAGAUGAAAUGGAAAAGGGAAAGGAGAAAAGUCCCAGCUACAAAUCCACGCAAGCUCACCCGUUCGGCUGCUGCUUCCCGGCACGAAGCUUUGUCCCUGGGCAUGUCCUUUAAGCAAUGCUCACCGUAUCCAAAUUCGCCUCUUCGGCGCAGCUCGGCUCAAUUCGAAUAACUCGGAGCCGCUCGGUCCGUUCGGCUCCGCUCGGCUCGGCUCGGCUCGGCUCGGCGGAACUCGGAGCCGCCUCACGUUGAAGGCGCAGCGCUCGCUGCUCUCCCGCUGCCGAGGGCCGCGGGCGGCCCGGCCGUCCCAUGGAAAAAGCAGCUUCUGUAUUCAACCCUUGGUAUCCCGCAAGGAGAAAAUUUCUCUACCUGUUUUCUCAUUUUUCUUCUUCGAUUUCAAAAUCAGAGUUACAAAAACCUACUCAAGUGCAAGUAAAAGAUUUACUAAGUAGUCAAAGUAGUCUAGUAAAUUUCAUAACCUAAAGAAAAAGUUAUACUUCUGUUUCCACAAAAAAUAAACCACACGAGAUUCCUACUCACUGUGUCAAACUUUAUUUAAAACACACAAAAAAACCCUCAAGAUAAAUAGUUCCACAACCAAAACAAAAUGUGUAAGUAACACUAACUAAAACCACACAUCCAAAUACAGCAUUUAUCGCAUUUUCUAUAUACAUUAUUAGUAUACCUCUUCACAACUAACCUUAUCCCUCACAAACUUUAAAUUGUAAAUAAAAAAUCCUAUACAUAACAUAAACUCUUAGAAUAACAUUUAUACACUCUUACCCCAAAUUA
This is a long non-coding RNA of Passer domesticus (house sparrow), 1190 nucleotides long. RefSeq lists it as uncharacterized. NCBI's taxonomy places the organism in Eukaryota, Metazoa, Chordata, Aves, Passeriformes, Passeridae. The transcript has 3 exons. The record is from RefSeq and is a predicted model, not a curated record.